RNAcentral lists this transfer RNA (77 nucleotides) under Halostreptopolyspora alba. Its description in RNAcentral is "Nocardiopsaceae bacterium YIM 96095 tRNA-Ile". It matches the Rfam family "tRNA". Rfam says of the family: Transfer RNA (tRNA) molecules are approximately 80 nucleotides in length. Lineage: Bacteria; Bacillati; Actinomycetota; Actinomycetes; Streptosporangiales; Nocardiopsidaceae. The record is from RNAcentral.
GGGCGUAUAGCUCAGACGGUUAGAGCGCAUCCCUGAUAAGGAUGAGGUCCGUGGUUCAAGUCCACGUACGCCCACCC